AUGGUGGACAUAAUGGAAUUCCCCAAAGGCACAUCAACACCAGCAUGUUAACACAGUAUAUUGACAGAACCAUGUGAUUCAUGUCCGGGAAGCUGGAAAAAUUCAUCCCACUGGAAAAAUGUUUAUUCUUUCAGAUGGAGAAGGAAAAAAAAUGCAACCACUGAAUUGAUAAAGCCACUUGACAGGAAAUCUCUGGAAUCAUAGAAGUAAUUGGAAACAUCACAGCCGUGGCAACCAUACUGUGUGCAUCUUAUAUCUUGUUAAGGAAGAUUAUAAUCGCUUUGAUCUUGAACUUUACAAUGAAGCUGUAAAAAUUAUCAAUGAGUUUCCUCAGUUUUUUUCUUUAGAGCUUAUACAAUAUGAAUAA
RNAcentral lists this long non-coding RNA (367 nucleotides) under Mus musculus (house mouse). RNAcentral describes it as "long non-coding RNA chrX:85790872-85791239". Lineage: Eukaryota; Metazoa; Chordata; Mammalia; Rodentia; Muridae. The record is from RNAcentral.